RNAcentral lists this ribosomal RNA (253 nucleotides) under uncultured bacterium. RNAcentral's name for it is "partial 16S ribosomal RNA". It matches the Rfam family "Bacterial small subunit ribosomal RNA", at positions 524 to 776 of the family's 1533-position model. The record is from RNAcentral.
UACAGAGGGGGCAAGCGUUGUUCGGAAUUACUAGGCGUAAAGGGCGCGUAGGCGACCUGUUAAGUCGAACAUGAAAUCCCUGGGCUCAACCCAGGAACUGCGUCCGAUACUAGCAGGCUUGAAUCCGAGAGAGGGAUGUGGAAUUCCAGGUGUAGCGGUGAAAUGCGUAGAUAUCUGGAGGAACACCGGUGGCGAAGGCAGCAUCCUGGACCGGUAUUGACGCUGAGACGCGAAAGCCAGGGGAGCAAACGGG